RNA transcript from Episyrphus balteatus (marmalade hoverfly), 4117 nucleotides. It is a transcript of the gene named splicing factor 3B subunit 3, with no coding region annotated. The transcript is spliced from 11 exons. NCBI's taxonomy places the organism in Eukaryota, Metazoa, Arthropoda, Insecta, Diptera, Syrphidae. The record is from RefSeq and is a predicted model, not a curated record.
AUUCAAUCUGUCAUUUCUAUUUCAACCGGCUCGGGGGUCGGACGUUCGUUGAUGGUCUUAUUUAUUUCCUCGAAAGUUUUAAAUGAUAUCACCAAGUUAAUAGAUUCAUAGAAAAAAAUAAUCUGCAUUCAUCUUUUGAGAGUGUAAAUUAAAUAUAAAGAAAAUGACGUAAGUGUACCCCCAAAAGAAAUCAAUAUGUAUUUGUAUAAUCUUACCUUACAACGUGCCACAGGCAUAACCCAUGCUAUCCAUGGAAGUUUUUCCGGGACAAAGGUCCAAGAAAUUAUCGUUUCACGUGGGAAAAGUUUGGAAUUACUACGUCCAGAUUCAACCACCGGAAAAGUUCACACGCUCUUGACCACUGAGGUCUUUGGAUGUAUUCGGGCUUUAAUGUCUUUCCGUUUAACAGGCGGAACUAAAGAUUACAUUGUAGUUGGAUCAGAUUCGGGACGUAUUGUCAUUCUAGAAUAUAAUCCUACUAAGAAUUUCCUUGAGAAGGUCCAUCAAGAGACAUUUGGCAAGUCAGGAUGUCGUCGCAUCGUCCCAGGUCAAUAUUUUUCAAUUGAUCCCAGGGGUCGCGCUAUUAUGAUUGGUGCUGUUGAGAAACAAAAACUUGCUUACAUUCUCAAUCGAGAUGCUGAAGCACGAUUGACUAUUUCAUCACCACUGGAAGCCCACAAGUCCAAUACAUUGACUUAUCAUAUGGUUGGCGUGGAUACUGGAUUUGAAAAUCCAAUGUUUGCUUGUUUGGAAAUUGAUUACGAGGAAGCCGACAAUGAUCCAAGUGGUGAAGCUGCUCAAAAAACUCAGCAGACACUUACUUUUUACGAAUUAGAUUUAGGAUUGAAUCAUGUGGUUCGAAAGCGUUCUGAACCCCUCGAAGAACACGCCAAUUUCUUGAUCUCGGUUCCUGGGGGAAGUGAUGGACCAUCCGGAGUAUUGAUUUGCUCUGAAAACUACUUGACAUAUAAAAUCUAUGGCGAUAUGCACGAUAUCCGUUGUCCAAUUCCUCGUCGGAGAAACGAUUUGGAUGAUCCCGAACGUGGAAUGAUUUUCAUUUGUUCGGCAACCCACAGAACAAAAAGUAUGUACUUUUUCCUCGUACAAACCGAACAAGGGGACAUCUUUAAAGUUACACUCGAAACUGACGAUGAUGCUGUAUCCGAAAUUAAAUUAAAAUAUUUCGAUACUGUGCCACCGGCAACAUCGAUGUGUGUUCUCAAAACUGGGUUUUUGUUUGUUGCAUCUGAAUUUGGCAACCACUACUUGUAUCAAAUUGCUCAUUUGGGUGACGAUGAUGAUGAACCUGAAUUCAGUUCAGCUAUGCCACUUGAAGAAGGUGAAACUUUCUUCUUUGCACCACGCCCAUUGAAAAAUCUGGUUAUGGUCGAUGAAAUGCCAUCGUUUGCUCCAAUCAUCACAUCUCAAGUGGCUGAUUUGGCAAAUGAAGACACACCCCAAAUGUAUUUGCUUUGCGGCAGAGGGCCACGUUCUUCAAUUCGUGUACUUCGUCAUGGUCUAGAAGUUUCCGAGAUGGCUGUAUCUGAAUUGCCCGGCAACCCGAAUGCUGUAUGGACAGUAAAAAAACGCAUAGACGAUGAUUUUGAUGCUUAUAUCAUCGUCUCGUUCGUUAAUGCCACGCUGGUACUAAGUAUCGGCGAAACGGUUGAAGAAGUCACGGACAGUGGGUUCUUGGGUACAACACCGACACUUAGUUGCUCCUCAUUGGGAGAUGAUGCUUUGGUGCAAGUCUACCCUGAUGGUAUUCGUCACAUUCGUGCCGAUAAGCGUGUAAAUGAGUGGAAAGCGCCGGGAAAGAAGUCGAUUUCCAAGUGCGCUGUCAACCAGAGGCAGGUUGUGAUUGCAUUGUCCGGACGAGAGCUUGUCUAUUUUGAAAUGGAUGAGUCUGGUGAACUGAAUGAAUACACAGAGCGGUCAGAAAUGCCAGCUGAAAUUAUGUGUAUGGCGCUAGGUACGGUCCCGGAAGGAGAACAACGAUCAUGGUUCUUGGCUGUUGGCUUAGCCGACAAUACUGUCCGAAUUAUAUCACUCGAUCCAAACGAUUGUUUGUCACCUUGUUCAAUGCAGGCCUUGCCAUCACCAGCAGAGUCCUUGUGUUUGGUAGAAAUGGGCCAUGGUGAGUUGAAUGAAGAGGGUCAAGCUCAAGGCAAGGGAACGAUAUAUCUUAAUAUCGGAUUAAGUAACGGAGUACUUUUGCGAACUGUUCUUGAUCCAGUGUCAGGAGACUUAGCAGAUACCCGAACAAGAUAUUUGGGUUCACGACCGGUAAAGCUAUUUCGAAUUAAAAUGCAAGGAGCCGAAGCAGUAUUGGCAAUGUCGAGUCGAACAUGGCUUUCGUACUACUACCAAAACCGUUUCCAUUUAACACCUUUAUCGUAUGAGACGCUGGAGUAUGCGUCUGGCUUUUCGAGUGAACAAUGUAAUGAGGGUAUUGUAGCUAUUUCCACAAACACAUUGCGUAUCUUAGCAUUGGAAAAACUAGGCACAGUAUUUAAUCAAGUUUCGUAUCCAUUGGAGUAUACGCCACGUAUUUUCUGCACCCAUCAAGACACUGGCCGUAUGAUAAUCGCCGAAACUGAUCACAACGCAUAUACGGAAGAAAUGAAAAAUGCCCGCAAAAAUCAGAUGGCUGAAGAAAUGCGUACAGCUGCUGGAGAAGAUGAACAAGAAUUGGCAAAUGAAAUGGCUGAUGCUUUUAUUAACGAGGUAUUACCGGAAGAUACAUUCUCUUCACCAAAAGCUGGUUUAGGUUUGUGGGCCUCUCAAAUACGUGUUGUAGACCCAAUUCAUGGACAAACAACAUUCAAAAUACCUCUGACCCAAAAUGAUGCUAUAAUGUCUAUGGCUGUUAUGAAAUUCGCAGCUGCAGCUGAUGGUCGGUAUUAUCUUGUUGUAGGAGUUGCCAAAGAUCUUCAACUUAAUCCCAGAAUCUCCAAUGGAGGAGCUAUUGAUGUGUAUCGCAUAGAUCCAACCUGUUCACUGUUGGAAUUCUUACAUCGAACAGAAUGUGAUGAGAUUCCCGGAGCACUUUGUGGUUUUCAGGGACGCUUGUUGGCUGGAAUUGGUCGUAUCUUAAGAAUAUAUGACUUGGGAAAGAAGAAGCUCUUGAGAAAGUGUGAAAACAAACACAUUCCUUAUCAAAUUGUCAAUGUUCAAGCCAUGGGUCAUCGUAUUUAUGUAUCCGAUGUUCAAGAAUCUGUAUUCUUUGUACGUUACAAGCGAGCUGAAAAUCAGUUGAUCAUUUUUGCCGAUGAUACACAUCCUCGAUGGAUAACUGCCACUACACUAUUGGACUACGAUACUAUCGCGACUGCUGAUAAGUUUGGUAAUGUCUCCAUUUUACGGCUACCACAUUCUGUAACUGACGAUGUCGAUGAAGAUCCAACCGGAACAAAAUCUCUAUGGGAUCGAGGUCUUUUGAGUGGUGCAUCACAAAAAGCGGAAAAUAUUUCGACAUUCCAUAUUGGUGAAAUCAUCAUGUCACUUCAGAAAGCCACUCUAAUUCCUGGGGGAUCUGAAUCUCUUAUCUACUCUACUUUAAGUGGAACUGUUGGAGUGCUUGUACCGUUUACCAGUCGAGAAGAUUUUGACUUUUUCCAGCAUCUGGAAAUGCAUAUGAGAAAUGAGAAUCCGCCACUGUGUGGCAGAGAUCAUUUAAGCUAUAGAAGUGCAUAUUAUCCGGUAAAGAAUGUUCUUGAUGGAGAUUUAUGCGAACAGUAUUUGUCCAUUGAUCCAGCGAAACAAAAGAGCAUAGCUGGUGAUAUGUAUCGCACACCAAAUCAAAUUUGUAAAAAGUUAGAAGAUAUACGAACGCGUUAUGCAUUUUAAGGCAAAAUAUGCAAAAUUAGGCGUUGGUUUGAUUAAUAAAACAAGGAAUAGAACAAAAGGGAAUUAAAUUUUCAGUAGAUGUUGCACUUUUGACUGGACUAAUAUUUAGUUUUUCUAUAAGUUAAGGGCAUUAAAUUGGCAGUAGAUGUUGCAUUUAUGCUUUGUGUGGAAUCAUUUUAUUUAUUCAAGAGGAUUAUCGCAAUGGACUGUAUUGAAAAUAGUAAUAAGUUAUUUGUAACUAAUUUAAAAACAAAAAACAUUUAAAAAU